This 879-nucleotide ribosomal RNA is filed under the name uncultured bacterium. RNAcentral describes it as "partial 16S ribosomal RNA". It matches the Rfam family "Bacterial small subunit ribosomal RNA", at positions 47 to 967 of the family's 1533-position model. The record is from RNAcentral.
UUUAACACAUGCUAGUCUAAUGUAUUCAAUAUACAUGGCGUACAGGUGAGUAAUACGCAAGAAUUCUACCUUGUGGACUAAGGUAAACUUAGAUAGUAGUAAAUAGUAAAUACUGCCACAAGAUGUGCUUGCGCCAAGAUUAGGUUGAUGGUGGGGUAACGGCUCACCAUGCCUAUAAUCUUUAGCUGGUCUGAGAGGACGAUCAGCCACAUUGGGACUGAGAUAAGGCCCAAGCUUUUGCCAGCAGUGGGGAAUAUUGGACAAUAAGCGAAAGCUGGAUCCAGUAAUAUUGCGUUAGUGAGGAAGGCACUAAAGAUUUAAGUGUUUGGUUUGGGUAAAACUAAGCUAGACUCUCAAAUUGGCUGUAAAACUAUUUCGUUAGUGAGGAUAAUGACUUUAACUAAAGAAGAAACUCCGGCCAACUUCGUGCCAGCAGCCGCGGUAAUACGAAGGGAGUGAGCGUUAUUCAUAAUGAUUGGGCGUAAAGGGUUCGUAGAUUGACAAUUUAAUCUUUGGUGAAAUUUUAAGUGAAAUUAAAACUGCCUUAGAUAUUGGUUGUCUAGAGUGAAUUAGAGGAUAAUAGAAUUUUAUAAAGAGGAGUGAAAUCUUUUGAUCUAUCAAGGAAUGCCAGAGGCGAAAGCGAUUAUCUAGAAUAUCACUGACAUUGAGGAACGAAGGCGUGGGGAGCAAACAGGAUUAGGUACCCUGGUCGUCCACGCAGUCAAAGAUGAAUGCUAAUAUUUGGUAUUGGCCAAUUAUAAAGUUAACACGUUAAGCAUUCCGCCUGGGAAGUACGAUCGCAAGAUUGGAACUCAAAGGAAUUGACGGGGAUCUACACAAGUGGUGGAGCAUGUGGUUUAAUGCGAUAGUACACGCGAA